GGCCGGGCCGGGCGGCGGCGGCGGCGGCGGCGGCGUCGUCGUCAGCGGCGGCAGCGGCAGCAGCGCUCCCCGGCAGCAUGGGCGGCUCUGCCUCCAGCCUGCUGGACGAGAGCAAGUGCACCUACAUCCGAGGAAAAACAGAGGCUGUCAUCAAAAACUUCAGCCCACACUACAGACGCCAGUAUGCCGUGGCUUUCUGCAAGCACGUGCAGGAUGAGCUGGAGCAGCACCGGGAUUCCCAGUCUCGGUUCCUGAAAACCAAGCCUCUGGUGGAAGCUGGGACAGUCUUAUACGAAGCAGAACUGCUUCAUUUUGCUGAGGAUCUGAAGAAGUGGAAGGACAGAUAUGUUGUUAUAAAAAACGACUACACUGUGGAUUGCUUUGAGACUAAAGAGGCCUACCAGAAAGGAGCCAGCCCUAAAUAUCAAGUUCUUCCUGCAGGAGGCAAAGUACUGACUUCAGAAGAAGAUUACAAUUUGCUGUCUGAUAAACAUUUUCCAGAUCCUGUUGGGUCGAGUGAGAAGGAGGUCGCUCAAGCCUUCGUUCAGCUGCCGAGGGAGUUCCCGGUUUACCUGUGGCAGCCCUUCACCCGGCACAGCUACUAUUGCUUCCCAGAGCCAGAAGCUCAGAGGCAGUUCAGCGCUGUGCUGGGCGACUGCGUGAGGCACUCAAACCACGAUUUUCUCAAGCAGACCACGUAUGAAGUCGAGGCAUUCUUAGAAGCCAUUCAGUUCUUCCGGCAGGAGAAAGGCCACUAUGGGAUGUGGGAAAUGAUAACUGGCAACGAAAAAGAGAUCCUGAGCAACCUUGUGAUGGAGGAACUCCUGCCUAACCUUCAGACAAUGAUCCUGCCUAAAAUGAAAGGAAAGAGGAACGAUAGGAAGCGGGCCUGGUUUGGUAUCGUAGAAGAAACUUACGGCUUAGUCCAGCAGCAGGUGUCAGAAGGCUUAAGUACCUUGAAAGAAGAAUGCAGAGAUUUUGCAAAAACUCUGGAAGGAACCAUUCGUUCAGACAUGGAUCAGAUUCUGAACUCCAAGAACUUCUUAGCUGGAAAAAUCAAAGCCACUGUUUCUGAGCCUGCCCAGAAGUGCUGCACAGAAAAUAUCCAGCCAUUUCUCACAUCCAUAUUAGAGGAGCUCAUGGGUCCAGUGAGUUCUGGAUUCACUGAAGUCCGCUCCCUUUUUGAUAAAGAAGUUAAUGAAAUCAUCCAGGACUUCCAGAAGACAAAUGAUAUCACAAAGCUAAAGGAGAACAUGGAUCAGCUCAUGAACCUACCAUUCAACUCUGCGAAAAUGGAGCCCUGCUAUCUGAAAGUGAACCUCCUCCAGGAGCUCUUUCAAGACCUCAAGAAUCGCUUCAAGGUGUAUCACAUUGAUUUUGUGAUUCAGAGGACACAGAACUUCAUGCAAGAGCUGAUGGAAAAUGCAGUUUAUACUUUUGAGCAGUUGUUCUCUCCAAGUCGCCAGGCAGACCCAGCAAAAUUUGCAACAACCAUUGAAAAAGUCAAGCUGAGAGUACUGAAGCAAUAUGAUUAUGACAGCAGCACUAUCCGGAAGAAGAUAUUUCAAGAAGCACUGGUACAGAUUACUUUGCCCACAAUGCAAAAGACACUGGCUUCAACGUGCAAACCGGAGCUGCAGAAAUACGAGCAGUUCAUUUUUGCUGAUUACACUAGCGUGAUCCAAGUAGAGAAUGUGUAUGAAGAGAUUUUAUAUCAGACACUGCUUGAAGAAACCCUGAAAGUGAUAAAAGAAGCUGCCAUUAUGAAGAAGCACAACCUCUUUGAAGAUAACUUGAAUAUGCCCUGUGAAAGCGUGUCCAGCUUAACGGACCUGAAGACCCCUUCAGGAUCAGCACAAACCACUCCCGCAAAGAAACCUUCCACUGCCCGAGCCGAGAUGUCAGACACUGAAACUCAAAGUGAUGAAACACUCAUUGUGACAGAAAAUAUUUCCUGGGAGAAGGAUAGUGAUGAUAGAAAGUCAUCAGACAAAGAGGCAGUCACUGCUGUUAAUAUGGCUGGUCAUCAGGCAAGCAAAAAUGAAGAAGUGGUCAUUACAGACAUCAGUGAGAAACGGGAGUCCCUUUCAGCUACCCUUAGAAAACAAGAAGUUGCAGAGGAAAAAAGUGCUUUGGAGAAUGAAGACACGGUGAAAGCAGAGUUUGUAGCGAACACUGAGAAAGAGCUUAAGACACAGCAAAAAGCUGUGGAGGAAAAAGUAGCUCCUGGGACUGAAACUGCAGUGAAAGAUUUUGGAGCCAGCCCUAAAAAAGAACUUAAGGUACAUAAAGGAGCAGUGGAGGAAAAGGUAACUUCUGAGAGUCAAACAGCAAUGGAUGCUGUGUUUGUCGGUGACACUGAAAAAGAAAGCAAAGCACAGGAAGAAGUUUCUGAGAUAAAGCUGACUUCCCCACAUGAUAACGUAGCAGAAACAGAGAUUUUAGGGAAUGCCAAAAAGAAAAUCAAGAUAGAAAAAGAAAUUAUGGAAGAAGUAUCUCAGAGUGAAAAUGUGGUAGGAACAGGGCUUGAAGAGGAUAGUAGAAAAGAAAGCAAUGACCAAGGAGCAAGUACUGAGACAGGGGUUAUUUCCCAGGAUGAAAACACAGGGAAAGGUGGGUUUGGGGAUAAUCCUGAAAAAGAAAGCAAGUCAGAAGGAAAGAGUUGUAAAUUCCCUGAUGAUGUGAAUGAGAUAAGGAGUUUGCUGAUGGUAACGGUUGAGAUACCAGCAGGUACUCCAGCUGAGAACAUAAAGGAGAUUUGUGAAGGUGAGAUAUUAAAGUUGCAGGAGCACAGUAAAGAGGAUGAUGAGUUGAGCAAAAUGGUUGCGGCAGAAAUUCAGGUGAGCCAGACGAUGAUGAAUAAAGACCCAGCAGAAUGCGUGGAGUUCAAGGAGGACCGACCAUCUUCAUGUAGUUUGGGGACAGAUGGUACGAAUUUAGUGAAUGUGUCCAAGGGGGCCUGCAAUAUGGCACAAGCAGAAUGGCUGGUGGAAAGCUCAGAUACGCCUCAGGAGGCAAAGGCAGAGGUGGAGAUCAAGCAAAGCGCUUGGCACACAGGUGUGGAAAGCUGCGAAAGUGAUAGACUGCAGCCGGAGGAGCACACUGAAAAUGUGCCUGAAGGCAAAAGAUUAGAUGGGGAGGAAGGAGGAGCAGGGAAUAGCCAUGCCAUCCCAGUGGAGGUAGGAAGCUUUUUUCAUAAUCCUGCUGAAAAUGCAGACACAACGCAAGUGCCCGUUUUGGAUACAGAAAACCCAAGAACAGGACUGCUAGAUGUGCCAGUUUCUUUGGUGCUGGAGCAGGGCGAGGUUAGCGCCGUAGAGGUCACAGGAGAUACGGAGACUGGUGAGGGUGAAGGGAAGCCAGAAGGUGAAUCAUCUUCACAAACGGAAAUAAAAAGCACAGAAGGAGAAGAUAUUUUCAGAGAAAAAAACAGAGAAGAUAGUUAUGCACAACAAAACUCUGAAGAAUAAGAAGCGUUUUUCAGCCCAGCCCUGCAGGAUUUAUUUAGUCCAGUAAUCCCUGUUUAAUUGUGAAUACUUACUUGGGUUGGGGCUGGAGGAAAUGGGCUUUGUUGUGGUAUUACCAGCUCUUGCAGUUUUAGCACAGAUAUCUUCCUGACUGAUAGGUGAUAGAUUUCUUUUUGGUUAAAGCCCUCACUGUUUAAAACCAGGUUAUUGUUGGGGAACCUCAUCUUUCACUUAAAACUUGCUACCUUUUAUGGUUAUAGAAAAAAUCAGAAAAUGUGACCACUGAAUGCUUCAAAAGCAGCUCACCCCCAACUAUAAAGUUAUUUUAACAACGUAACUCUUCUUAGGUGUUUUAGCAGGGGAGUAGCUCAUGAUUUUUAAAUGCAUGGAUUUGACAAGUACUGCUAUGAUUCUUAGGUGGUUGGUACAUACGUUGCUAUUCGACGAUGCUUUUAGUAUUUGCAUGCAGUAUAUGGGAAAUAAAUAAAACUUUUAGUAGUUAAACA
RNAcentral lists this long non-coding RNA (3973 nucleotides) under Aquila chrysaetos chrysaetos. Its description in RNAcentral is "lncRNA (ENSACCG00020006782.1)". The record is from RNAcentral. Lineage: Eukaryota; Metazoa; Chordata; Aves; Accipitriformes; Accipitridae.